GACGAACGCUGGCGGUGUGCUUAACACAUGCAAGUCGAACGGUAAGGCCCUUUCGGGGGUACACGAGUGGCGAACGGGUGAGUAACACGUGAGUAACCUGCCCUCAUCUCUGGGAUAACAGUCGGAAACGGUUGCUAAUACUGGAUAUGAGCCUGCAAGGCAUCUUGUGGGUUGGAAAGAUUUUUUGGUUGGGGAUGGACUCGCGGCCUAUCAGCUUGUUGGUGAGGUAGUGGCUCACCAAGGCUUCGACGGGUAGCCGGCCUGAGAGGGCGACCGGCCACAUUGGGACUGAGAUACGGCCCAAACUCCUACGGGAGGCAGCAGUGGGGAAUAUUGCACAAUGGACGGAAGUCUGAUGCAGCAACGCCGCGUGCGGGAUGACGGCCUUCGGGUUGGAAACCGCUUUCAAUUGUGACGAAGCUUUUUGUGACGGUAGCAGUAGAAGAAGCACCGGCUAACUACGUG
RNAcentral lists this ribosomal RNA (465 nucleotides) under uncultured bacterium. Its description in RNAcentral is "partial 16S ribosomal RNA". It matches the Rfam family "Bacterial small subunit ribosomal RNA", at positions 28 to 507 of the family's 1533-position model. The record is from RNAcentral.